GUCAUAUGCUUGUCUCAAAGAUUAAGCCAUGCAUGUCUCAGUACAAGCCAAAUUAAGGUGAAACCGCGAAAGGCUCAUUAAAUCAGUUAUGGUUCCUUAGAUCGUACCCACAAUUACUUGGAUAACUGUGGUAAUUCUAGAGCUAAUACAUGCAAACAGAGCUCCGACCGGAGACGGAAGGAGUGCUUUUAUUAGAUCAAAACCAAUCGGUGGCGGGUUCGCUCGUCAUCGUACAACUUGGUGACUCUGAAUAACUUUACGCUGAUCGCACGGUCAUCGCACCGGCGACGCAUCUUUCAAAUGUCUGCCUUAUCAACUGUCGAUGGUAGGUUCUGCGCCUACCAUGGUCGUAACGGGUAACGGGGAAUCAGGGUUCGAUUCCGGAGAGGGAGCCUGAGAAACGGCUACCACAUCCAAGGAAGGCAGCAGGCGCGCAAAUUACCCACUCCCGGCACGGGGAGGUAGUGACGAAAAAUAACGAUACGGGACUCAUCCGAGGCCCCGUAAUCGGAAUGAGUACACUCUAAACCCUUUAACGAGGAUCAAUUGGAGGGCAAGUCUGGUGCCAGCAGCCGCGGUAAUUCCAGCUCCAAUAGCGUAUAUUAAAGUUGUUGCGGUUAAAAAGCUCGUAGUCGAAUUUGUGUCUCGCGCCGCCGGUUCAUCGUCCGCGGUGUUAACUGGCGAGUCGCGAGACGUCCUGCCGGUGGGCUUAGCUCGCGAGGGCGGCCCAACUCAAUCCUGCCGCGGUGCUCUUCAUUGAGUGUCGAGGUGGGCCGGCACGUUUACUUUGAACAAAUUAGAGUGCUUAAAGCAGGCUAAAACUUCGCCUGAAUACUGUGUGCAUGGAAUAAUGGAAUAGGACCUCGGUUCUAUUUUGUCGGUUUUCGGAACCCCGAGGUAAUGAUUAAUAGGAACGGAUGGGGGCAUUCGUAUUGCGACGUUAGAGGUGAAAUUCUUGGAUCGUCGC
This 967-nucleotide ribosomal RNA is filed under the name Trigonopterus sp. 854 AR-2022a. Its description in RNAcentral is "SSU rRNA". It matches the Rfam family "Eukaryotic small subunit ribosomal RNA", at positions 23 to 931 of the family's 1831-position model. The record is from RNAcentral. Lineage: Eukaryota; Metazoa; Arthropoda; Insecta; Coleoptera; Curculionidae.